Molecule: unclassified non-coding RNA, 2639 nt
Filed under: Penaeus monodon (black tiger shrimp)
Lineage: Eukaryota; Metazoa; Arthropoda; Malacostraca; Decapoda; Penaeidae
Description: cartilage oligomeric matrix protein-like, transcript variant X6
Source: RNAcentral
AAACUAUUGGGGAAGUAGAAUCUCUCUCCCUAUCAUUCUUUUAAUGUUUAUAAAUACCAAGAAACCCCGUCCAGUAGCCAUACGCUGUACCAACAUGGCGUUUCUUUCCGCAAUACUCCCCAUAUUGAUGGGACUGACCAUUGCAAUGGCCACAGAUGGGUCCGAGUGCCCUGGGGAAGGGAGAUUUCCAGAUCCUAAUACAUGUGGAGGAUUCAUGGACUGCAUAGCCAAAAAGACUGGUGGCUUCACUGUAACAAGGGAUCGCUGCAAUGGAUUUGUGUACAACGCUACAUCAAUGACUUGUUCAAAAACCCCGUGUGGUUCGCGUCAUGAACGAAGUGUUACAAAUGACUUCCAUCCCUUGUCACAUCUGUGUGAAAGUCAACCUAACCGGUUCUUGUGUGCAAACUGCAGGACUCUGGUUCACUGUGUAAUGGGCCAAGCCUUGGUUCGUCAGUGCACAGAAGAUUUCUACUGUACAGAUAAGCUUGGCUUUGGAGGUGCUGUAUGCUACCCUAAUGAACCAGCAGAGUGCAUGUGUUUGAGGCCAAAUGAAUUUCGUGUGGAUCCCUAUGACCCACAGAGGUUCUUCUCGUGUGAGAAUGCUGGCUCCCAGCCAGAAACCUACAAGUGUCCAGAAGGUAAGGAGUUUGAUGAAAACUCUGCCCAGUGUGUAAACCAGAUUGGCUUCCCAGAAUGUGUUAAAUCUGGAACCUUUGCCAACACCCAAAACUGUGGUGAAUACUACUCGUGCAUUCCCUUGAGACAUGGUUGGCUGCAGAAGUUCUACAUGUGCAGUGGUAACCACUUGUUCAAUGAGAGAACCAAGACCUGUGAAGAUCCCUGCACCUUGAAAUUCGUGUGCCAACAGGAGGGAAGAUUUCCAGACCCCCUUAACAUGCAGCAUUACUUUGAAUGCUUCGUGGAAGCUGGCCAAAUGAUACAGCUGCGAUAUCAGUGUCCCAAUGGAUACAUGUGGAAUGAAAUAAGCUUUGGGACAGGAAAGUGUGUAGAAGCAACGGAGGAGUAUGCUGAUUAUCCCUUCGCCCAUUGUGAUAUACCAGAUGACCAUUGUCCAGAGACGGAUCCAUGUUUGCAAAAUCCUUGCUUUAGUGGGGUUGCUUGUACAUUUACAAGCAUGGCACCUUUCUAUACCUGUGGCCCAUGUCCUGCAGGAUAUACUGGUGAUGGAGAAACUUGUGUUGGCUUGCAGUGCCCUGUUGGGUAUGCUGGUGUUGGUAGCGACUGUGCCCCCGACUCUGACCUUGAUGGCUACCCAGACACUGAACUAGGAUGUGCAAGCAAAUACUGCCGUAAGGAUAACUGCAUCAAUAGGCCAAAUUCUGGGCAAGAAGAUGCUGAUGGUGAUGGACUUGGUGAUGCCUGUGAUUCUGAUGCUGAUGGAGAUGGAUUCAACACUAAUUCGGAUAACUGUCCCCUGAUUGCCAACCCUUCGCAACAAGAUGCAGACUCGGAUGGAAAAGGCGAUGUUUGUGACAAUUGCCCUGCAGUGUCAAACCCAAGCCAAAGGGAUGUUGAUGGGGAUCAAAUGGGCGACGCAUGCGAUGACGAUAUCGACAAUGAUGGAUCCCUGAAUGCAGCAGACAACUGUCCCCUGACUGCUAAUGGCAAUCAGGCAGAUGCUGAUGGUGAUGGCCUUGGAGAUGUUUGUGACAACUGUCCCCUUAAUACUAAUCCUGGACAGGAAGAUAAAGAUCAAGACCUUCUAGGUGAUGCUUGUGAUAGCAAUACCGACUUGGAUGGUGAUGGUGUGGAUGACAGUGUGGACAACUGCCCAUCUGUAGCCAACAGUAACCAGCUGGAUGUAGAUGGUGAUGGUGAUGGUGAUGCCUGUGAUGCAGACAGUGAUAACGAUGGUGUUGAUGACACUACAGACAACUGUGUAAUGAUUCCAAAUCCGAGCCAGGUGGACGGUAAUGGGGAUGGCCGUGGUGAUGCUUGCACACCCGACUUUGAUGGUGACCAAAAAAAUGAUAUGGAUGACAAUUGCAUAAAAAAUCCCAAUGUACAUGCUACCGACUUCAGGCAACUCCAAAUGGUAGCCCUAGACCCACAGAGUGCAAGUGUCCCUCCAGUAUGGGUCGUCUACGACGAUGGUGCAGAGAUUCACCAGACUGUGAAUUCUGAUCCAGCUCUAGCAGUGGGUGACCAUGUAAUGAUUGAUGUCGACUUUGAGGGCACUUUCUUUGUUGAAGAUACAAGUGAUGAUGACUUUGUUGGCUUUGUAUUUGGAUACCAAAGCAAUGCCAAUUCUACGUUGUGGCAUGGAAAAGGGACCACAGAACUGGUUUAACCAGGCUGAGAGGGGUGUUACCUUAAAGCUGGUAGACUCUGCUACAGGCCCUGGCACAGCACUUAGGGAUGCCCUGUGGCUCACUGGUUCCACACCCAAUCAGGCAACACUGCUUUGGCAUGAUGGCAGCAUUGGAUGGACCCCAAAUGUGGCAUACCGCUGGCAACUUCACCACCGUCCUAAUAUUGGCACAAUUAGGUUCUAUUUGUACCAGGGUACUAAUCUGGUCAUGGACUCUGGAAACAUUUAUAAUGAUGCCCUGAAAGGAGGAAGAUUGGGACUCUACUGUUUCUCUCAAGAAGAGAUUAUUUGGUCUAAUGUCAAG